CUCGCGCAGGGUCCGGGCGCGUCACCGAGCAAUUAGAGGGAAACACACACACACACACACACACACCCGCACACACAUACACACACACACACAGAGCAGAGUUAGAUCCCAAAGCCACACAUUUCUCUUCAUCACUGAAAGGAUUUCGGAAGUGUGGAAAAAACCAGCACAGAUGACAUGAGAUCCACAUAAAAACCUCUUCCUCUUCAUCAUUUAAGCCUCUGACAUACCUUAAGGCAGGAAUCCCAAAUGCACUACAUGUGCUCACUACAUAAGGAUUGAUCCUGGUCAGAGUUGCAGUGGAUCUGGAGUCUACCCAAACUGGGCAUGAAGGAAGGAAUACACCCUGACUGGGAUGCCAGAACAUCACUCGCCACCAUUCACACACUCAUUCACACAUGGGGGCAUUUUAAGUUUUAGGUCGCCAGUGUUUUUUCAAAAGUCGAAGGAAACCAGAGAACCCAGAAGAAAUCCACAUGGGUCUGGGGAGAACAUGUACAGUUGGGUCCAUAAGUAUUUGGACAGGGACACAGUUUUUGUCAUUUUGCGUCUGCGCACCACCACAAUGAAUUUGUAAAGCCUGCCUGCCC
Long non-coding RNA from Ictalurus punctatus (channel catfish), 590 nucleotides. Lineage: Eukaryota; Metazoa; Chordata; Actinopteri; Siluriformes; Ictaluridae. The record is from Ensembl.